AGGACGAACGCUGCGGCGUGCUUAACACAUGCAAGUCGAACGAAGCAGCAGUGAAGGAGGCUUCGGCCAAUGGAUCUGCUGACUUAGUGGCGGACGGGUGAGUAACGCGUGAGCAACCUGCCUUUCAGAGGGGGAUAACGUUUUGGAAACGAAACGCUAAUACCGCAUGACAUAGUUUUAUCGCAUGGUAGAGCUAUCAAAGGAGCAAUCCGCUGAAAGAUGGGCUCGCGUCCGAUUAGAUAGUUGGUGGGGUAACGGCCUACCAAGUCGACGAUCGGUAGCCGGACUGAGAGGUUGAACGGCCACAUUGGGACUGAGACACGGCCCAGACUCCUACGGGAGGCAGCAGUGGGGAAUAUUGCACAAUGGGCGCAAGCCUGAUGCAGCAACGCCGCGUGAGGGAAGACGGUUUUCGGAUUGUAAACCUCUGUCCUUGGUGACGAAGAAUGACGGUAGCCGAGGAGGAAGCCACGGCUAACUACGUGCC
Molecule: ribosomal RNA, 487 nt
Filed under: uncultured bacterium
Lineage: Bacteria
Description: bacterial SSU rRNA
Rfam family: Bacterial small subunit ribosomal RNA
Source: RNAcentral